CAGUAGCCGCGGUAAUACGGAGGAUCCAAGCGUUAUCCGGAAUCAUUGGGUUUAAAGGGUCCGUAGGCGGUCUUGUAAGUCAGUGGUGAAAGCCCAUCGCUCAACAGUGGAACGGCCAUUGAUACUGCAGGACUUGAAUUAUUGGGAAGUAACUAGAAUAUGUAGUGUAGCGGUGAAAUGCUUAGAGAUUACAUGGAAUACCAAUUGCGAAGGCAGGUUACUACCAAUUGAUUGACGCUGAUGGACGAAAGCGUGGGUAGCGAACAGGAUUAGAUACCCCUGUAGUCCCUGUCUCUUAUAA
This 301-nucleotide ribosomal RNA is filed under the name uncultured bacterium. RNAcentral describes it as "partial 16S ribosomal RNA". It matches the Rfam family "Bacterial small subunit ribosomal RNA", at positions 509 to 809 of the family's 1533-position model. The record is from RNAcentral.